UGGUAAAUAAAUACGACAGUAGUGUUGUAGGUACCGUCGUAGUAAACUCAAAAAUUAAAGUACAUAAGUAAUAACUCGCGUCAUGGUAGAUUAUUUAACACGUCGUUUUUAUUAAUGCACCGACGUGGAUUUCUGUAAUAUACGUCGAUCAUACGGACGUUGAUUUUACAAUUUAAACGGCGGUUUUUUUGUAAGGACCGCCGUUGGUUUUAAAAAUUUAUUCUAUAAAUUUGUCGCUUUCAUUCAUUUUCGGUUUACAUUUAGGAUUCCAAGUUCUUCCUCUCUCAGUCUCUCACGUCUCAAAGAUAA
RNAcentral lists this long non-coding RNA (309 nucleotides) under Prunus persica (peach). Its description in RNAcentral is "long non-coding RNA (PPER_LNC004361)". Lineage: Eukaryota; Viridiplantae; Streptophyta; Magnoliopsida; Rosales; Rosaceae. The record is from RNAcentral.